RNAcentral lists this non-coding RNA (89 nucleotides) under Arthrobacter sp. RNAcentral's name for it is "Fluoride sequence". It matches the Rfam family "Fluoride riboswitch aptamer (crcB RNA motif)". Lineage: Bacteria; Bacillati; Actinomycetota; Actinomycetes; Micrococcales; Micrococcaceae. The record is from RNAcentral.
UCUGUUCACGGUGAUGGAUCCCGCCGGAACAGCCCGCACGCGCGUGGGCUUGUUCGAACCGCCUCCUGGCUAAUGGUUCCUACCUUUGC